UUAUCCUUAGCUCAGGUGGAAGAGCGGCGCCAUUGAAGCGUAUGUCACCGGUUCAACUCCGGUAGGAUAAA
RNAcentral lists this transfer RNA (71 nucleotides) under Lactobacillus phage Bacchae. RNAcentral's name for it is "tRNA-Gln". It matches the Rfam family "tRNA". From Rfam's summary of the family: Transfer RNA (tRNA) molecules are approximately 80 nucleotides in length. Their secondary structure includes four short double-helical elements and three loops (D, anti-codon, and T loops). Lineage: Duplodnaviria; Heunggongvirae; Uroviricota; Caudoviricetes; Herelleviridae. The record is from RNAcentral.